RNAcentral lists this ribosomal RNA (308 nucleotides) under Polyplax arvicanthis. RNAcentral's name for it is "partial 16S ribosomal RNA". It matches the Rfam family "Archaeal large subunit ribosomal RNA", at positions 2021 to 2554 of the family's 2987-position model. The record is from RNAcentral. Lineage: Eukaryota; Metazoa; Arthropoda; Insecta; Psocodea; Polyplacidae.
GACUGUGCUAAGGUAGCAUAAUAAUUUGCCUUUUAAUUGAAGGCUGGAAUGAAAGGGUUAACUUGAGUUAAUCUGUCUCUUUUUAGUUAUAAAACUUAAGUUUUAAGUGAAAACGCUUAAAUGAUUUAGAGGGACGAGAAGACCCUUCAGAUCUUCCCCGAAUAAAUGUGAAAGGUUAAAAUUUACUUUUAGGGUUACCUGGGAGGGGGUUUGAAUAAUAAACUUCAUAAUAAAUUUAAGACAAAUUCUGUCUAACUUGUAGAUCCUGAUUGGAAAGAUGAAAAGAUACCUGAGGGAUAACAGCGUAA